UACUAGGAUGGGUGACCUCCCGG
RNAcentral lists this small RNA (23 nucleotides) under Arabidopsis thaliana (thale cress). Its description in RNAcentral is "AGO4_08666". Lineage: Eukaryota; Viridiplantae; Streptophyta; Magnoliopsida; Brassicales; Brassicaceae. The record is from RNAcentral.